RNAcentral lists this ribosomal RNA (433 nucleotides) under uncultured bacterium. RNAcentral describes it as "partial 16S ribosomal RNA". It matches the Rfam family "Bacterial small subunit ribosomal RNA", at positions 29 to 507 of the family's 1533-position model. The record is from RNAcentral.
AACGAACGCUGGCGGCAGGCCUAACACAUGCAAGUCGAGCGCACCCUUCGGGGUGAGCGGCGGACGGGUGAGUAACGCGUGGGAACGUGCCCUUCUCUGCGGAAUAGCCUCGGGAAACUGAGAGUAAUACCGCAUACGCCCUUUGGGGGAAAGAUUUAUCGGAGAAGGAUCGGCCCGCGUUGGAUUAGGUAGUUGGUGGGGUAAUGGCCCACCAAGCCGACGAUCCAUAGCUGGUUUGAGAGGAUGAUCAGCCACACUGGGACUGAGACACGGCCCAGACUCCUACGGGAGGCAGCAGUGGGGAAUCUUAGACAAUGGGGGCAACCCUGAUCUAGCCAUGCCGCGUGAGUGAUGAAGGCCUUAGGGUUGUAAAGCUCUUUCAGCUGGGAAGAUAAUGACGGUACCAGCAGAAGAAGCCCUGGCUAACUCCGUG